RNAcentral lists this ribosomal RNA (460 nucleotides) under uncultured bacterium. RNAcentral describes it as "partial 16S ribosomal RNA". It matches the Rfam family "Bacterial small subunit ribosomal RNA", at positions 28 to 523 of the family's 1533-position model. The record is from RNAcentral.
GACGAACGCUGGCGGCGUGCUUAACACAUGCAAGUCGAGCGAUGAAACUUCUUCGGAAGUGGAUUAGCGGCGGACGGGUGAGUAACACGUGGGCAACCUGCCUCAUAGUGGGGAAUAGCCUCUCGAAAGGGAGAUUAAUACCGUAUGUGGUCGAGAGACGAAAGAUUUAUCGCCAAAGGAUCGGCCCGCGUUGGAUUAGGUAGUUGGUGGGGUAAUGGCCUACCAAGCCGACGAUCCAUAGCUGGUUUGAGAGGAUGAUCAGCCACACUGGGACUGAGACACGGCCCAGACUCCUACGGGAGGCAGCAGUGGGGAAUCUUAGACAAUGGGGGAAACCCUGAUCUAGCCAUGCCGCGUGAUCGAUGAAGGCCUUAGGGUUGUAAAGAUCUUUCAGUGGGGAAGAUAAUGACUGUACCCACAGAAGAAGCCCCGGCUAACUCCGUGCCAGCAGCCGCCGUAA